RNAcentral lists this ribosomal RNA (440 nucleotides) under uncultured bacterium. RNAcentral's name for it is "partial 16S ribosomal RNA". It matches the Rfam family "Bacterial small subunit ribosomal RNA", at positions 338 to 795 of the family's 1533-position model. The record is from RNAcentral.
CCUACGGGUGGCAGCAGUAGGGAAUAUUGCUCAAUGGGGGAAACCCUGAAGCAGCAAAGCCGCGUGGAGGAUGAAGGUUUUCGGAUUGUAAACUCCUUUUGUUAGAGAAGAUAAUGACGGUAUCUAACGAAUAAGCACCGGCUAACCCCGUGCCAGCAGCCGCGGUAAUACGGAGGGUGCAAGCGUUACUCGGAAUCACUGGGAGGAAAGAGCGCGUAGGCGGGAUAGCAAGUCAGAUGUGAAAGCCUAUGGCUUAACCAUAGAACUGCAUUUGAAACUGGUAUUCUAGAGUAUGGGAGAGGUAGGUGGAAUUCUUGGUGUAGGGGUAAAAUCCGUAGAGAUCAAGAGGAAUACUCAUUGCGAAGGCGACCUGCUAGAACAUAACUGACGCUGACGCGCGAAAGCGUGGGGAGCAAACAGGAUUAGAUACCCCUGUAGUC